Molecule: unclassified non-coding RNA, 343 nt
Filed under: soil metagenome
Description: partial contains 5.8S ribosomal RNA, internal transcribed spacer 2, and large subunit ribosomal RNA
Rfam family: 5.8S ribosomal RNA (bases 1-120)
Source: RNAcentral
GAUGAAGAACGCAGCGAAAUGCGAUAAGUAAUGUGAAUUGCAGAAUUCAGUGAAUCAUCGAAUCUUUGAACGCACAUUGCGCCCGCUAGUAUUCUGGCGGGCAUGCCUGUCCGAGCGUCAUUUCAACCCUCAAGCCCCCGGGCUUGGUGUUGGGGAUCGGCGAGCCUCCGCGCCCGCCGUCCCCUAAAUCUAGUGGCGGUCUCGCUGUAGCUUCCUCUGCGUAGUAGCACACCUCGCACUGGGAAACAGCGCGGCCACGCCGUUAAACCCCCAACCGCUGAGCGUUUGACCUCGGAUCAGGUAGGAAUACCCGCUGAACUUAAGCAUAUCAUUAAGCGGAGGA